AUUGAACGCUGGCGGCAGGCUUAACACAUGCAAGUCGAGCGGGGUGAUGGUGCUUGCACUAUCACUUAGCGGCGGACGGGUGAGUAAUGCUUAGGAAUCUGCCUAUUAGUGGGGGACAACAUCUCGAAAGGGAUGCUAAUACCGCAUACGUCCUACGGGAGAAAGCAGGGGAUCACUUGUGACCUUGCGCUAAUAGAUGAGCCUAAGUCGGAUUAGCUAGUUGGUGGGGUAAAGGCCUACCAAGGCGACGAUCUGUAGCGGGUCUGAGAGGAUGGUCCGCCACACUGGGGCUGGGACACGGCCCAGACUCCUACGGGAGGCAGCAGUGGGGAAUAUUGGACAAUGGGGGGAACCCUGAGCCAGCCAUGCCGCGUGUGUGAAGAAGGCCUUAUGGUUGUAAAGCACUUUAAGCGAGGAGGAGGCUCUUUUGGUUAAUACCCAAGAUGAGUGGACGUUACUCGCAGAAUAAGCACCGGCUAACUCUGUGCCAGCCGCCGCCGCCG
Molecule: ribosomal RNA, 503 nt
Filed under: uncultured bacterium
Lineage: Bacteria
Description: partial 16S ribosomal RNA
Rfam family: Bacterial small subunit ribosomal RNA
Source: RNAcentral